UACGGAGGGUGCAAGCGUUAUCCGGAUUCACUGGGUUUAAAGGGUGCGUAGGUGGGCAGGUAAGUCCGUGGUGAAAUCUCUGAGCUUAACUCAGAAACUGCCAUGGAUACUAUUUGUCUUGAAUGUUGUGGAGGUAAGCGGAAUAUGUCAUGUAGCGGUGAAAUGCUUAGAUAUGACAUAGAACACCAAUUGCGAAGGCAGCUUACUACACAAAUAUUGACGCUGAGGCACGAAAGCGUGGGGAUCAAACAGG
Molecule: ribosomal RNA, 253 nt
Filed under: uncultured bacterium
Lineage: Bacteria
Description: partial 16S ribosomal RNA
Rfam family: Bacterial small subunit ribosomal RNA
Source: RNAcentral